UGGUUCCGGCAUCGAUGAAGAACGCAGCGAAAUGCGAUAAGUAAUGUGAAUUGCAGAAUUCAGUGAAUCAUCGAAUCUUUGAACGCAUAUUGCGCCCUUUGGUAUUCCAUAGGGCAUGCCUGUCCGAGCGUCAUAAAAAAAUUCAAACCUCUCUGGAGUUUGGUAGUGGAAUUGGCAGUUUGCUUGUCGAGUUGCCCUUCCGAACAGCAGUGCCGGCGUUUAUACAAAUGUCUUGGAGCGUAGUAACAUUUAUAUCUCCUUCAAGUUCUCGUAUCAAACUGCCCGCUAUAGAAAAACACAUUUGUCCAAAUUUUGACCUCGGAUCAGGUAGGGAUACCCGCUGA
This 344-nucleotide unclassified non-coding RNA is filed under the name uncultured fungus. RNAcentral describes it as "partial contains 5.8S ribosomal RNA and internal transcribed spacer 2". The stretch from base 1 to 133 matches the Rfam family "5.8S ribosomal RNA", at positions 22 to 154 of the family's 154-position model. Lineage: Eukaryota; Fungi. The record is from RNAcentral.